UAACCAGGAUUCCCUCAGUAACUGCGAGUGAAGCGGGAUCGGCUCAAUGUGUGAAUCUGGCUUGGGGUACAUCCCGGGUCCGAGUUGUGCACUAUGGAUGCUUCGUCUGCGUUUGUAAAGGCGGUGGAAGUCCGUUGAAACACGGCACCUCAGAGGGUCACAGUCCUGUACCAUCCGUCUGCACUCGCGCCAAUGACAAGUGCUCCUCGAGUCGCGUAGUUUUGUAAUGCUGCGCCAAGUGGGAGGUAGAGACCUUCUAAGGCUAAAUAUGAUGACGUGACCGAUAGCACACAAGUACCGCGAGGGAAAGGUGAAAAGCAACCAUGAAAAAUGGGUUGAAACAGUAGUGAAAUCGCUACCGGGAUAAGGGCUAUCGGGUGCUGGGGCUCUUUGGGUGUGCUUUAGUGCUACCCUCGGAGACGGCCCGCGAGGGUUGAUGUUGGGGCGAUAGACGCGCUGCAGGAAUUCGGCUGCCUUUGGGCAGUGUUGUAGCCUGCGGUUGCUGAUCCUCCUGCGACCUUGUGUGAUUGCGGGU
RNAcentral lists this ribosomal RNA (535 nucleotides) under Tulasnella calospora. RNAcentral's name for it is "eukaryotic LSU rRNA". It matches the Rfam family "Eukaryotic large subunit ribosomal RNA", at positions 66 to 602 of the family's 3401-position model. The record is from RNAcentral. Lineage: Eukaryota; Fungi; Basidiomycota; Agaricomycetes; Cantharellales; Tulasnellaceae.